Molecule: ribosomal RNA, 468 nt
Filed under: uncultured bacterium
Lineage: Bacteria
Description: partial 16S ribosomal RNA
Rfam family: Bacterial small subunit ribosomal RNA
Source: RNAcentral
GACGAACGCUGGCGGCGUGCUUAACACAUGCAAGUCGAACGGAAAGGCCCUGCUUUUGUGGGGUGCUCGAGUGGCGAACGGGUGAGUAACACGUGAGUAACCUGCCCUUGACUUUGGGAUAACUUCAGGAAACUGGGGCUAAUACCGUAUAGGAGCUCCUGCUGCAUGGUGGGGGUUGGAAAGUUUCGGCGGUUGGGGAUGGACUCGCGGCUUAUCAGCUUGUUGGUGGGGUAGUGGCUUACCAAGGCUUUGACGGGUAGCCGGCCUGAGAGGGUGACCGGCCACAUUGGGACUGAGAUACGGCCCAGACUCCUACGGGAGGCAGCAGUGGGGAAUAUUGCACAAUGGGCGGAAGCCUGAUGCAGCAACGCCGCGUGCGGGAUGACGGCCUUCGGGUUGUAAACCGCUUUAGCCUGUGACGAAGCGUGAGUGACGGUAAUGGGUAAAGAAGCACCGGCUAACUACGUG